UCCGUGAUAGUUUAAUGGUCAGAAUGCCAGACUGAAGAUCUGGAGAUCGGGGUUCAAUUCCCCGUCGCGGAGCC
Molecule: transfer RNA, 74 nt
Filed under: Escherichia coli
Lineage: Bacteria; Pseudomonadati; Pseudomonadota; Gammaproteobacteria; Enterobacterales; Enterobacteriaceae
Description: P-SITE TRNA OF 70S RIBOSOME from Escherichia coli (PDB 486D, chain A)
Rfam family: tRNA
About the family: Transfer RNA (tRNA) molecules are approximately 80 nucleotides in length. Their secondary structure includes four short double-helical elements and three loops (D, anti-codon, and T loops).
Source: RNAcentral